GUGUAGAGAAUAGGAUGGUUAUAUAUGGAAAAGUAAGGUUCUUUAGGGAUUAUAAUGGUGUAUUGUGAUUGGAUGAGGAAAUGAAGGGUUAAGGAUUCAUUUUGAGGGUUUAGGGAAUGUCUUUGAUGUUUGCACAUGUCCCUAGGUUUAUUGCAGCCAUGAAAGGCACUAUUUGAGGUUGUAGCAUUCUGGAGCCUAAAAUCCAUUUGGGCUUAUUGCUUAGGCCAUGUGGGCUUAGCUUUGGGCUAGCCGUGAGCUAAGCCCAUGUAGACUUGGC
Molecule: long non-coding RNA, 277 nt
Filed under: Ricinus communis (castor bean)
Lineage: Eukaryota; Viridiplantae; Streptophyta; Magnoliopsida; Malpighiales; Euphorbiaceae
Description: long non-coding RNA (RCOM_LNC000960)
Source: RNAcentral